UACGUAGGGUGCGAGCGUUGUCCGGAAUUAUUGGGCGUAAAGAGCUCGUAGGCGGUUUGUCACGUCUGCUGUGAAAUCCCGAGGCUCAACCUCGGGCCUGCAGUGGGUACGGGCAGACUGGAGUGCGGUAGGGGAGAAUGGAAUUCCUGGUGUAGCGGUGGAAUGCGCAGAUAUCAGGAGGAACACCGGUGGCGAAGGCGGGUCUCUGGGCCGUAACUGACGCUGAGGAGCGAAAGCAUGGGGAGCGAACAGG
Molecule: ribosomal RNA, 253 nt
Filed under: uncultured bacterium
Lineage: Bacteria
Description: partial 16S ribosomal RNA
Rfam family: Bacterial small subunit ribosomal RNA
Source: RNAcentral